AACUGUUUCUUGCUUGUGGUACAGUGCUGAUACAAAUCUAGAGUUAUUCUUGUAAUGGUAUAUGCAUGUAUUUCUGUUCUUGUUUAAAAUACUGUAGCUUUACAGUAUAUUCUAAACCACUGAGGGAAAUCCCAAGAAAGACUUUGUCUAAGUGGCUGCCAGCCCAGGCGGGACUGGAGAUAACUCCCGCUACAUGCCUGCCACCAGGACCUGGCCUAGACUGUGGACAAUAAGCAGGAUACUGGAAUUGAUUGCACCCCCUUGCCUUGAUAAAGUGAGAUCAGUCUACUGCAUCCCUAUUCCACAGGAAAAAAUCUGCCUUAUGGGCCGGAUGGUGGAAGAAGAUGAUGCUAUUCCAAUAUUCGUGCCUCCAACACUGUGGAGACUUGGAAUGAAGUUUAUUUUUGAAGUUGCAGAGCAGGAGGCCCUAAUAGUGGAGGAGACAUAGCAGCAGGCAGCAUGAGCAGGAAGCUGAGAGAUCACAUCUUCAUCUGAAAACACAACGCAGAGAAAGCAAACUAAAAGAACAGGCCUUCAAGAGAUGACAGCCAAACAGGACAAAACAAUAUACAAUAAAACAAGACAAAGCCCUUACAUCAAAGAUGAUCAAGGCAACUCAAUAGGAGGAAAGGAGUUCCAUGACAGGCAAAAGUGUCAACGAUACUGGAUAAGAAAAAGUGCUGCCCAGAUAUAAAUGUUCAGAUCCAGGUUCACUUCAACACUGCAAUGUCUACCUACAACCAAGAGAAACAGGUCAUUGUAGAAUUCAAUUAAAAUCCACAUGAUUAAAAUUUGUCUUUCUCUCUUUAGAAGCACUCUGAGAAAGACCUCACACUAUGUUCUAAGCACUUCAAUAGCCAUCAAAGUGUCUGAAAAGAGAUUAUGUGUUCAUUUCUGUAAAGUUGAGGUUUGGGGUACAAAAGAAAAAUGAAGAGGACCCAGUAAAUGGAUGCUCUUUGAGCUCAUCAAGAGAUUAUAGUGGACAUAUCCACUGUUCUGGCCUCUUCUGAUUCAUUGUUGUGAAGCUAUCAUUAUAGAUUUGGCUAAAUUACAUUAAAAAUUUAAGUACCAGACACAGAGGGUCACAGAAGUUGAAAUCAGGACAUUUACUGAUAAAGAGUUGGACCCUGUAACUUGAAGAGGGGAUGUAUAGACCACAUUGAAGAUGAGAAUUCUGAAACCUCAGAUUCUCCAAUGUUUUUGU
Molecule: non-coding RNA, 1204 nt
Organism: Peromyscus maniculatus bairdii (prairie deer mouse)
Lineage: Eukaryota; Metazoa; Chordata; Mammalia; Rodentia; Cricetidae
Source: RefSeq, a predicted model, not a curated record